AUUAAGUUUUGGUUAAUCGUUGUUAAGGUUGUUUAGUUUAAUUGCUUUUGUUUUUCUUGUAUUUUGUUUUUCUUGUAUUUUGUUUUCGUUGGACUGCUACCAAGGGUAUUGUGUUUUUCCAGCUCUCUCAAGCUUCUUUUUUUUCCCAAUCCUUGUUCUUCUUACAUUAUUUUUCUUGUAUUAUGUUGUUUUUCUUCUAAGGUUGGAUCUUCUAUUUUCAGAUUUACGAAAUGAGUUAUGUAAAAUGAUACCACAACUUUAGAUUGAACACUGAUGAGGUAUUUGAUCAUAUUGUCUCAAACCAUUGAGACUUAAAUAUUGCAUAUGAUAUACAGUCCAGAAGGUUCUUGCAAAACUACCUCCGGAAAUUGCAAGAAAAUAUUUUUCCUAAGCUUGUGGAUUGCCUAUUCCUCUUCAAAUCUUUCAUUUACAUGCCAUGUUUGCCUGAUAAGACACAGGCAGAUUUGUCAAGAAAUGCAGCAAAAAAAAGAUUCUUCCAUGGUUUGUUUGUCAGGUUACGUUUUUUCAUAG
Molecule: long non-coding RNA, 531 nt
Organism: Zingiber officinale
Lineage: Eukaryota; Viridiplantae; Streptophyta; Magnoliopsida; Zingiberales; Zingiberaceae
Exons: 3
Source: RefSeq, a predicted model, not a curated record